UAAAAAAAGAAAAAAUCUCUAUUUCAAAAGAACGUUUUGCCCCAACUCACCGUACACAAAACCCUAUUCCCGUCUCCUCCUAAUUUCAGCCAUGGUAAAAGAGCAGCUGGUUAAGGUCUUUUCUUUAAUGAAUGUACCUAUCGUGUAACUUUUUGUUCUAUUAUCAAAUUCAUGAGUUAUUAUGUUAGCUGACAGAAGUUUGGAUAUCUAUUUCUCUUGUUUCGGAUUAGCCAAGAAUGUUAUUUCAAUAUGAAAUAAAAUUUGUUGCUUUCGUUCAAUUUCUAAUCUGACGAUUUUCUAUUUGAGUUUAUAAGCCUACUCCUGCAGAUUCUCACAUGAAUCUGAGAUACAGAGAUGAACGUGCAAGUGAGAUUAGAGGAAAAGUUUAGAUAACCUUCUUUGCUUAAUCUUGUUUCUCCUUUUCUGUAAGUAGAUUAUACCAACCUUUUCUGUAUCUCAGUGAUGUUAGAAAGUAGAUUAUCAUAUUGUGUUUCAAGCUAUGGAUACAUUUGAUGGUUCUAAGUUCUACUUUAGGGACUUUCAAAAUACUAGUUUAGAUAUCCUUUUUAAGUAUUCAUGUUUGGUUUUGUGGCGUCAAACUGUAUUUUUCUGAAUCUAAGAUGCUUGUACUUUGUACUCGUUCCCCUUAUCCUUUCUUUAGUAAGUUGUAAGCCAUUUUGUGGGCAAAUAACGUCAUCUCCUCACAUUGACUUAUUCUUUUAAUUGAUCUUCCUUUGUCUACUCCAAUACAUUAUUUUUCUGAAAGAACUUGGCAACUAAUCUUGAAAUUAUUGUUUAGUAAUCCAUUAUUCUUUUUAUUUUUAUUUUUUAUGUUUAUUGAUAGGAUCUCUGGCUGUGAGUGAUAUUAUUCUCUUUGGUCUUAAUCUUUUAAAUUAUUAAUAGAUUAGCUAAGCUACUAGAGCCAGUAAAGUUUCAAAUACUACAACAAAUCUAAAGUUGGCAUGUGUAUAAACAUCAGUUUGUGAUGAAGGGACCAUUGGAAUUGACUUGUAAAAUCUCGUUGGUCUUACUUUGUAUUUGUGUUUGAAUGAAGAGGUUGUCAGUUUGACUUUUUAUUUAUUUUUUAUAUGGUAAAUGUGUUUAUGGCUGGUAGGAUGAUGUAAUCACAUUUCUUCCUUCUUGCAUUAACUGCUAUAAUUUCAGUAGUAGUCUUAUAGUUUGGUAAGUCUAAAUUAGCAAUGGUGUAGAAUCUAUUUGUCAUGGAAGAAUUGUCUUUGAAAAUCUCAUUUGUCUUACUUUGUGUUUGAAAUGCGAAGAUUGACAACUUAAUGUAGUUUAAUUUUUUCUUGCAUCAACUGCUAUAAUUUUGGUUUUAGUUUUUUCUCCUUUUCCAUGUAUGUUAUAGUGAGGACUGGAUUAGAGGGACCAGGACUUACAGUUGCUCAAAAGAUAUGGUACUGUGUUGCAACAGUCGGUGGUCAAUAUAUAUGGGCUCGUCUAUAAUCAUGUUCUUCUUUCGAUAGAUGUUGUUGUCACUGAACUCUAAACAUGUGAAAUAAUGUCACAAUUUGAGGUGAAUGUUGUGAGAUUCCCUUAUGCAGUCACGAGAAUAGACAAGAAUUCAAUUACUGAAGCAUCGGAGCUUGAUGUGUUAGUUUUAUACUUAUUUGUAGAAGCUUUAUUACCCAACGGAAAGAGCUGCUAAAAUCAAGCUUAGAAGACAUGAUCUGCAUACUCAAUUGUCACUUGAGGAAAAAGAGAUGCUUUCAUCACGACUACAAGUAAAAAUGUCGAGAUCAGUCGGUUUUUGUCGCUUGACUGAGCAUGCCAAAGAAGCAUAAUAUUCUUGAUUUGGUGUGGAAUUGCCCACACUAAAAGCUCUGACGAUAAAGGAGUCUUCUGUUACCAAAAAAGCUAAGAUUCAAACAUAUUCACUCUUUAUGCUUCUAAUACUCUAUAGAGGACCGUAAUGGAAGCAAAGACAGAAAUACUUGAUGGUGGGUUGUGGAUUUGUGUAGUAUUUCAGAGUAAUAAGGUUAGAGAUGACAACAAGACCUUAUUUCACGCUGGAAUUUCACAUGAUGACAAUUUUGAUGCUCUUGGUUUUUCCCUGGAGCCUUAGCCCUCUCGAGCUUCCCCACCUCUAGGUCCAGACGGUCGUUCUCAUGUACUUCCUUGUGAGACACCUCAACCACUUACGAGGAAAAUGCCGGCAAUUGAAUUCGAAUUGUGGCCAUAAGUAAACUCGAUCUAUUAUAGUGAAGGAUGAUUAGUUUUUCUACUAUUGUCAUAUAUGUUUGAAUGGAUUUGGUUUUGUGGAAUUUAUUGAUAUUAGAGAUGUUGAAGUAAUCACUUUUUGAGUAUUGGUUGUACAAGACAUUUCUCGAAUUUUAUUUGAAAUAUAUAGCUUCGAUUUAAUUAUUAGGUAA
Long non-coding RNA from Solanum pennellii, 2390 nucleotides. RefSeq lists it as uncharacterized. NCBI's taxonomy places the organism in Eukaryota, Viridiplantae, Streptophyta, Magnoliopsida, Solanales, Solanaceae. The record is from RefSeq and is a predicted model, not a curated record. The transcript has 5 exons.